CAAUCAAAGCAAUCCCAAUCAAAGCAAUCCCAAUCAAAUCAAAUCAACUCCAACCCAAUUGAAUUUUUCAAUUUACUUCAAAACGGACUUCGAAACUUUCCUUGCCUUCCGCAAUUUUUUCCAACACCUUUUGUUCCACCUCUCCAAUAACGCAACCUACCCUCAAAAACCCUGGUCAUCUCGAAAACACUGGUCAUCUCGGAACCAGCUACAUCUAACCCAUUAUUCAUUUCACCCACAAAGAUCGCACUCUUUUAAAGUAGCCCAACCAUUCACUGCAAAGGAACCCCUUUCAUCGCCGAAAGCUUCGUCAAUCGCAUCUACGCCUGAUUACGACAGUCCCUCGCCUUAUGAUCCCGUAAGCGAAUUUCGGUUUGCAUAGAUUGGAAAUUCAGUCACCGAUGAUUGGACAUGCCACUGUUGCACCUUUUCGCUUGAUAAGUCUCCGCGCUGAGGCGUACGUCAUGUUGACAUAAUAGAAAAGGGAGAAAUGGGUCAAAGGAAAGGAAGAGAGUGGGUCAUUUGAGAUACGCGCCUAUUGCAAUGUCCAAGAUCGACUAGCUAGCUGGCUAAGGGAAGAAAGAGCCGGGGAAGGGGGGUAGAGAGAUUUUUGAAAAGGUCAUCAUCAUCAUCAUCGGAAGCGGUAUGAAGGGACGUUACAUUGUAAGGGGAAUUGAUGAAAGAGGAAGAUCGUUUCCAACCACCAUACCUUUCUGUGAAUUUCUUAAAUAUAUUUCUUUUCUUUUUCUUUUUUAUUGCUCCAAAACAAAUGUGCGCAGUGACGUAGAUUGGACGAACUAGGAUGACAAGGCUUUUUGCCGGAAAUCCUGUUUUGAUACCGCUAAUCUACCAUGAAACCAGUAGAUGCAGGACGCUAUACACUGGACAUUGGCACUGGACACUGGACGCAGAUAUGGAAGGUUUGUUUAAAUUACAAUUGUAAAGUGACUAAUUCCAUUUUUUUUUUCUUUUUUCCAACGAAUUCAUCCAAGAAAGUAAAAACAAAAGUUAUACAUUGCAUUUUUUUCUCAUUUGACGAAUCCUUAAUUUAUUACAGCAUACUUCUGCACCCAUUAAAUUCCAACAAGUGUGCUUUAUGCGACAUUUUACAAUGUCUCAAUGUCACAUCUUUUUUGCAAAACCGCCCACACAACCCACACUAGCAACUAACUAACUUACCUUAGCUAUCUGCCUGUCUGCUGCCUGCCUUGUCUGGCUUAGAUGGUAACCGGAUGCGAUGCGGAGGAAAAAAACCUUUACAGAUACCGAGCCGAAGCAGUGUUUUGAUGUCGUCGUAAUCUAAAAAUAGUAAUAUGAUGUGGUUUCGAAAACAAACGACAUUAACGAGAGAUAUCAGCCUUUUCAGGGUUGAUGGGUAACCUGUGCAAUCUUAUCAUGAAUGUGACUUUUCUCAAAACUCAUCUGGUUCACCAGGUUCGGGAGAUGGAUCGACAGCAUCAUAUCAUUUUACGGGUCAAGAUAUGCGCGGAUCUUCUCGAUGGUAAAUUUAAGCUUGAAAACAUCUAGUGGGGCUUAUAAUAUUGUGCUACGAAAAGGACACCGUUAACUUGCCUCUCUCUUGCUUUGUGUUUUCCUCACAAUCCAUAUUUCUUCCUGUUGAUGUUGUCUUGCUUUACUAUUGCAUGAAUCCCAUUAGCAAUCACUCCUUUCCUACUACCGCAAAAAAUGGAUCCGCAUUACGUAGUUUACCGUUGCAAUCCAAACGAGGUGUGUGUGUGUCCAAGAUAAAGAUUAAAUUGGAGCACAUAGAGGCUGAAAGAAGCUAAUCAUCCAGAAAAGACACCUAAAAGGAGAAAUCAAACUAAUACAACAGGAGCGCUAUAAUAAUUAAACCAAAUUUUUAAUUAUGAACGCCGAUGAUAUUUAAAACGUUUAAAAAAAAUGUCUAAUUUAUUAUUUCAUAAGACAAGAUGUGAUAGGAAUCGCUGCUUUGUAAUUCACUUCUAUCACUCAUUGAGUAUCGCUUUAUCUAGGAUGUUUGUCCUUUAUAAAUCUUCUUAGGAAUUGCCUUUAUAUUUAAUUAAUUAAAUUUAUAUUAUACUGUUUUCAUAUCUAUCCAAGCUAUCUGAU
RNAcentral lists this long non-coding RNA (2091 nucleotides) under Schizosaccharomyces pombe (fission yeast). The record is from RNAcentral. Lineage: Eukaryota; Fungi; Ascomycota; Schizosaccharomycetes; Schizosaccharomycetales; Schizosaccharomycetaceae.